AUGGCGCAAUGGGACGCGCUCGUGGACGCCGCGCUCGGUGAGCUGGCGUCCAGGAGCCUCCUGCGCGCCACACGCCCCAUCGCCCUGGCUCUUCCGGCCGCGCCGCCGGAGACGUUCCCAGGCCCCGGCCCGUGGGACCGCGCCGCCGUCGAGAUCCGCCUCGACCGCGCCACCCUCCGCCAGUGGCUCGCCGAAGGUGGCGAGGCCAGUGGCCAGGAAGAGGAGCUGGGUGAGAAGCUCAUUCUUUUCUCCGGGAAUGACUACAUGGGACUCAGCUCACAUCCGGCAGUCCGUGAGGCCGCAUCAAAGGCAGCUCAAGAGUACGGCAUGGGCCCUAGAGGCUCCGCGUUGAUAUGUGGGUAUACUACUUAUCACAAAUUGGUGGAGGAAUCAUUGGCAGAGUUGAAGAAAAAAGAGGAUUGCCUUCUCUGCCCCACCGGAUUUUCUGCCAAUAUGGCUGUGAUGACUGUUCUGGGGAGUAUUAGCUCUCUUUUGGCGGUUGGCAGAAAACCCGCAAAGGACGAGAGAAUUGCUAUUUUUUCAGAUGCCCUGAAUCAUGCUUCGAUCAUCGAUGGGAUUCGCCUUAUUGAGCGGCAGCAAGAAGCUGUAGUGUUUGUCUACAAGCACUGUGACAUGUCCCAUCUUGAUUUCCUCCUGUCCAGUUGCUCAAUAAAAAAGAAAGUUGUUGUCACAGAUAGCUUGUUUAGCAUGGAUGGUGAUUUUGCUCCAUUACCUGAACUUGUGGAACUACGCAAGAAGUAUGGAUUUUUAUUGGUCAUCGAUGAUGCCCAUGGAACACUUGUUUGUGGUGAUAAUGGUGGUGGUGUACCCGAGCUGCUUGAAUGUGAGAGUGGAAUUGACAUAGGUGUUGGCACCUUAAGUAAGGCUGCUGGCUGCCAGGGUGGGUUUGUGGCAUGCAGCACCCGAUGGAAGAGUUUAAUUCAGUCGCGAGGUCGUUCGUUCAUUUUUUCAACUGCUUUGCCAGUGCCAGUAGUUGCUUCUGUUCAAGCCGCGCUCCAUGUCUCGAGGAAGGAACGAUGGCGGAGAUCAUUGGUCUGGAGGCACGUGCAGUAUUUUGCAUCCUUGACUAAACUCAAUAUAACUAGUCCCAUAAUUUCCAUAGUAGUAGGAAGUGAAGAAGCAGCACUGAGGGCUGGCAGGCAUAUGCUAAGAUCUGGAUUUCAUGUUACACCAAUUCGACCACCCACCGUGCCGCCCAACUCAUGCAGGCUGCGAAUAACUUUGAGUGCUUCUCAUUCCUCGGAUGACAUCAAGAGGCUGGUCGAUGCGCUCGCUACCUGGCUAUCUGGCAAACAUGCCAAGCAGAGCUUUGUCGAGGGGCAUUCUGAGCAGAGCUACGUCGCAGCAUCAAAACUGUAA
This 1380-nucleotide ribosomal RNA is filed under the name Triticum aestivum (bread wheat). RNAcentral describes it as "partial small subunit ribosomal RNA". The record is from RNAcentral. Lineage: Eukaryota; Viridiplantae; Streptophyta; Magnoliopsida; Poales; Poaceae.